This is a non-coding RNA of Cinara cedri, 236 nucleotides long. NCBI's taxonomy places the organism in Eukaryota, Metazoa, Arthropoda, Insecta, Hemiptera, Aphididae. The record is from the annotation of a GenBank genome assembly.
CGAGCAACUGAAAGUCAAAUUCCGGCCCUGUGUAUAAUGUCAACGACACGUGAGUGCGGUCACACAGUACUUAUUAUAAUAUGCUUGUAUACUAUUGUCACGGUUUCGAGAUUAAGUUUCCAAAGCAAACUUUAAUUCGCAUCAAAGUUAGACGUUGAGCACGUGUACGACCUAAACGCAUCCCGUAUAUAAUUAUUAAAUACGUUUCGGCCGGUCUCCGAUGUCUUCAUAGGCGU